This 494-nucleotide ribosomal RNA is filed under the name uncultured Gammaproteobacteria bacterium. RNAcentral describes it as "bacterial SSU rRNA". It matches the Rfam family "Bacterial small subunit ribosomal RNA", at positions 86 to 575 of the family's 1533-position model. Lineage: Bacteria; Pseudomonadati; Pseudomonadota; Gammaproteobacteria. The record is from RNAcentral.
AGGCGUCGAGUGGCGGACGGGUGAGUAAUGCAUAGGAAUCUGCCCAGUAGCGGGGGACAACUUGGGGAAACUCAAGCUAAUACCGCAUACGCCCUACGGGGGAAAGCGGGGGACCUUCGGGCCUCGCACUAUUGGAUGAGCCUAUGUCUGAUUAGCUUGUUGGUGGGGUAAUGGCCUACCAAGGCAACGAUCAGUAGCUGGUCUGAGAGGACGAUCAGCCACACUGGGACUGAGACACGGCCCAGACUCCUACGGGAGGCAGCAGUGGGGAAUAUUGCACAAUGGGCGAAAGCCUGAUGCAGCAAUGCCGCGUGUGUGAAGAAGGCCUGCGGGUUGUAAAGCACUUUCAGUAGGGAGGAAAUGGCAUAAGGUUAAUAACCUUUUGUCUUGACGUUACCUACAGAAGAAGCACCGGCUAACUCUGUGCCAGCAGCCGCGGUAAUACAGAGGGUGCAAGCGUUAAUCGGAAUUACUGGGCGUAAAGCGCGCGUAGG